UGGUUGAAGCUAUAUUAUUAGUAGAAUAGAAACUAGUCAGUUGUUUUUUUUUUUUUUUCCCUGCAUUUUCUGCAGACAAACGGCUUACCGAAUUUUUGACAUUU
Molecule: small nucleolar RNA, 104 nt
Organism: Magnolia sinica
Lineage: Eukaryota; Viridiplantae; Streptophyta; Magnoliopsida; Magnoliales; Magnoliaceae
Product: small nucleolar RNA snoR109
Exons: 1
Source: RefSeq, a predicted model, not a curated record